This 549-nucleotide ribosomal RNA is filed under the name Triticum aestivum (bread wheat). RNAcentral's name for it is "partial small subunit ribosomal RNA". Lineage: Eukaryota; Viridiplantae; Streptophyta; Magnoliopsida; Poales; Poaceae. The record is from RNAcentral.
AUGGCGAACAACGGGCUCGUCGCUGAGAAGGACCCACUUUUCUGGGGUGCGGCGGCGGCCGAGCUCACCGGCAGCCACCUCGACGAGGUCAAGCGCAUGGUGGCGCUGUUCCGCGAGCCUGUCGUCAGGAUCGUGGGCGCCGGCCUCAGCGUCGGCCAGGUGGCUGCCGUCGCCCAGGCCAAGGAUGUGUCCAGCGUCACCGUCGAGCUCGCCGAUGAGGCACGCGCCCGCGUCAAGGCCUGCAGCGAGUGGAUCCUGGACUCCGUGGCCAACGGCGGCGACAUCUACGGCGUCACUACUGGCUUCGGUGGCACCUCCCACCGUCGCACCAAAGAUGGGCACGGCCUCCAAGUUGAGCUCGUCAGGCAUCUCAUUGCUGGCAUAUUCGGCACCGGCAGCGACCACGAGCUGCCAUCGGAGGUUACACGUGCGUCCAUGCUCGUGCGCAUUAACACCCUCCUCCAGGGCUUCUCCGGCAUACGUUUCGAGAUCCUUGAGGCCAUCACAAAGUUCAUCAACAAAGGAGUGCACCCGAGAAUUCCCCUCUGA